GGUGGAGAUUGCCUCAGCAUUUCCUGGCAAAGGCAUCCAUAUUGAAUGCGGGUGCAUUCCGUUCUGUUGGUUACCAAGACAAACACAGUACUGAAGAAUCCCUCAAAGCAUCCCUGGUUUGGAUGAAAGCCCGGGAACAGAAGAGCUCAUCCUCAAGAGCACUAUCAGAUCUCAGCCUCUAUGGUAUUUAAAAGGGCUUGGAAAAUUUGUUUGAGAAAAUACCAAGGAUGUGAAAACAACAAAGUGAAAAAUAAAAUCUUUAUCUAGCACAAGCACAUUGAGGGUAAUUUAAUUUAAAAAAAAAAAUAAAAAAAUCUUUCUUCUGUCAUGUUUUAAUUAGUCCCUUCUGCUUCAAGAAAAUAUAAAUACCACUGUAUGUUAUCACAAAGGAGAGAAUAUUGGCAGUGUUAGGACUCAGCUGUAAGAUCCAUGAAAGCAAGAAAAGUUUAGCUAAGAUAAAGCAGCUUUGUACUUUGGAGAUGUUGAUUUCAGAAUGCAUUAGGUGUUGGGAGGGUUCAUCAGCCUAUUUAAUGUAUAAUCUGCUAGGCUUGUAGUAUUAGUGAAUAGAAUAACCUGGGCAAAAUACUGCUUGAGAAUAGGCUGUACCUUCAAGGGGA
This is a non-coding RNA of Coturnix japonica (Japanese quail), 617 nucleotides long. NCBI's taxonomy places the organism in Eukaryota, Metazoa, Chordata, Aves, Galliformes, Phasianidae. The record is from RefSeq and is a predicted model, not a curated record.